RNAcentral lists this ribosomal RNA (492 nucleotides) under uncultured bacterium. Its description in RNAcentral is "bacterial SSU rRNA". It matches the Rfam family "Bacterial small subunit ribosomal RNA", at positions 28 to 498 of the family's 1533-position model. The record is from RNAcentral.
GAUGAACGCUGGCGGCAUGCCUAAGACAUGCAAGUCGAACGGAGCGGCCCAUUGAAGACUGAGUGCUUGCACAAAGUUGGAUUUGGAUCCCCGCUUAGUGGCGAAAGGGUGAGUAACACGUAGGAAUCUGCCUUUAAGACUGGGACAACAGUUGGAAACGACUGCUAAUACCGGAUGAUAUGUUAAAUGAUACGUUAUUUAACAGUAAAAGGAGCCUUUAAAGCUUCACUUAAAGAUGAGCCUGCGGCGUAUUAGCUAGUUGGUGAGGUAAUGGCUCACCAAGGCAACGAUGCGUAGCCGAACUGAGAGGUUGAUCGGCCACAUUGGGACUGAGACACGGCCCAAACUCCUAUGGGAGACAGCAGUUAGGAAUAUUCGUCAAUGGAGGAAACUCUGAACGAGCAAUGCCGCGUGUGUGAUGAAGGUCCUUUGGAUUGUAAAGCUCUGUCUUUAGGGACGAUAAUGACGGUACCUAAGGAGGAAGCCACGGCU